Molecule: ribosomal RNA, 484 nt
Filed under: uncultured bacterium
Lineage: Bacteria
Description: partial 16S ribosomal RNA
Rfam family: Bacterial small subunit ribosomal RNA
Source: RNAcentral
AUUGAACGCUGGCGGCAGGCCUAACACAUGCAAGUCGAGCGGAUGAAGGGAGCUUGCUCCUGGAUUCAGCGGCGGACGGGUGAGUAAUGCCUAGGAAUCUGCCUGGUAGUGGGGGAUAACGUCCGGAAACGGGCGCUAAUACCGCAUACGUCCUGAGGGAGAAAGUGGGGGAUCUUCGGACCUCACGCUAUCAGAUGGGCCUAGGUCGGAUUAGCUAGUUGGUGGGGUAAAGGCCUACCAAGGCGACGAUCCGUAACUGGUCUGAGAGGAUGAUCAGUCACACUGGAACUGAGACACGGUCCAGACUCCUACGGGAGGCAGCAGUGGGGAAUAUUGGACAAUGGGCGAAAGCCUGAUCCAGCAAUGCCGCGUGUGUGAAGAAGGUCUUCGGAUUGUAAAGCACUUUAAGUUGGGAGGAAGGGCAGUAAGUUAAUACCUUGCUGUUUUGACGUUACCAACAGAAUAAGCACCGGCUAACUUCGUG